This 27-nucleotide non-coding RNA is filed under the name Arabidopsis thaliana (thale cress). RNAcentral also lists the same sequence under 1 other name. Lineage: Eukaryota; Viridiplantae; Streptophyta; Magnoliopsida; Brassicales; Brassicaceae. The record is from RNAcentral.
AAGGAGGAGGAGGAGGAGGAGGAGGAC